This 2247-nucleotide ribosomal RNA is filed under the name Triticum aestivum (bread wheat). RNAcentral's name for it is "partial small subunit ribosomal RNA". The record is from RNAcentral. Lineage: Eukaryota; Viridiplantae; Streptophyta; Magnoliopsida; Poales; Poaceae.
AUGAUUGGAAAGCCCAGACGAGAUGGGCCAAAAUGCGCCCAUAAACGAACAAAAGAUCCCAUUCCAUCCCGACAUUUGGCAUCACACUCAAAACCCUCGUCUUUGUGGGCUGUGGGCUGUGGCACCGCCCGACCGCCGGCUCCGAUCAUGGCCGGCGACGGCGACCUCGCCUCCCGAUGCCUCCGCCAGCAAGUCGCCCUCGCCUCCGACCACGACUUCGCGUUCCAACUCCAGCUCAACGAGGCCAUCCAAGCUUCCCUCCGCGUCCCAACUCCCAAUCGGCCCUCUUCCAGCGCCGCCGCCGCCGCCGCCACCGCACCCUGCUCUUGCCGCUUAUGUCAACCCGCCCCUGCGCUCUGGUCCUCCGAAGCUGCAUUCGCUGAAAUCGCGCGCCAAGAGAAGAACCGCCGCGACGCCCAUGCCUUCCGCGGCGCCCACGCCCAGGCAAACACCUCAGCCCGCGUUGUCUCCCGCGGCGCCCUCUUGGCGCGCGAGCUCGCCGACACUCCAGAUCGCCGACGGGCCCACGGCGGAGACCACUUCGAGCGACCUCUGGAUCCAAGCCGCACCCCUCUCUUCCGCGUCUUCUACAAGGGGUUGUCGAACAAGGAGGGCGCGGGGAGGUGGGGCGUCCCGGACCCCCGCGACGCGGUGCUCGCGGUGGCCGUGUACGAUCCCCGGGGGAAGGUGAUGCGCACCACACAGAAGCGCGUGGAAAGUUUUGAGGGCGGGCGCAUGGAGCUCGAGGUGCUGGCGCUCAUGGAAGGCAUCCACGCUGCGCUCGAGCUGGGGAUCCGAUGCGUCAACAUUGUCUCCGACUUCAAGGCGCUGCACAAAUAUGUAUGCCUUAAUGAAACCUCUAGAUCUGUGCAUAUGUCGUCUAUCUUAAUGCAUUAUUACUUCUUUCAAGCCCCCCUGCAGCAAGCCAUGUCUGCAGGUCGCUCUCAGCACACGGCUACCUCGAGCAUACGGCGUCGGCAGGAGGCCGAGCGCGCCGUGGCAGAGGAGCGUGAGCGAGCAGCUGUAGCAGCAGCUGCUGCGGCAGCAAGGGUGUCGAGGCUGGCUGCAGCAGAGCUGGCAACAGCCAGAGCGGAGGUAGAAGCAGCCAGGGCGGAGGUAGAAGCAGCAGCAGCAGCAGACGCAUCACGUGAGGCUACGGCGGAUGCCAAGGUACUCCGCGGCGGCUCCGGCAGCUCCAACAGCUCCGCGCCUGCGGACGCAGACCGCGCCAAAGUGGCGCAAGAGCGGACAGCGCAGUGGGCAGCCGAGCACGCCCGCGCUCCGGGUGGAGGUGCGCACCGCGACGGCGGCUGCAACGACCAGGACCGCGGCCUCUACGUGGUCCGGACUGUGGUCAGGCUCCAGGUGCGGCGCAUGUGGGAGGCAGUCCAGGACAACAACGUCGACCACCAAGAGGACCGACGGGCGCUGGACGCCCUCAUCGCCGCAGUCCCGCCCGAGAUGCAGUUCUCGCUUUCCAGCAAGCGGACUGCCAAGGAAGCUUGGGACGCCAUCGCCGCGGCACGCAUCGGCAGCGACCGUGCUCGCAAGUCCACUCUGCAGGCACUUCGUAAGGAGUGGGAGAGCCUGGCUUUCAAGCCAGGUGAGGACGUUGAUGACUUUGCUCUCCGUCUCAACACUCUGCUGCAGAAGUUGGUGAAGUUUGGUGAUGCCACCUACACCGAGGAGAGAGCUGUCGAGAAGCUUUUUCGGUGCAUCCCCGAGAAGUACAAGCAGAUGGCUCGGUCGAUCGAGUCUUUGCUGGACCUCUCCACGAUGACAAUCGAGGAGGCGAUAGGUCGCCUCAAGGUCGUCGACACCGACGAGCCACAGCCUUCCUCGGGGCCCAUCACCACCGGCGGGAAGCUGCUCCUAGCUCGGGAGCCGUGGGAUGCCAGCCUUGGUGACAGGAAGAAGGGGGAGCCUUCUUCCAUGACGGGCGGCCGCAAGCGUGGCAAGCAGCGUAAGACGCGAAGAGGCCCCCCGGGCAGGGCACAAGGACGUGCCGAAGGUGACGCCCGCGGAGGCGCCAAGGACGGCGCCGCUGGCAAGCCCAAGCCGGCACAAGACAACAGUUGCCACAACCGUGGCCGGUUUGGCCAUUGGGCCAAUAAGUGUCGGCAACCACGACAAGGCCAGGCUCACGUCGCACAGGCGAAGGAGGAAGAGACGGCUCUGUUCAUGGCUCAUGCAAGCAUUGAGCUAUCCUCAGCGACACCAGUCGCAAAAAGCUCUCAUCCACCUUGA